This 440-nucleotide ribosomal RNA is filed under the name uncultured bacterium. Its description in RNAcentral is "partial 16S ribosomal RNA". It matches the Rfam family "Bacterial small subunit ribosomal RNA", at positions 338 to 795 of the family's 1533-position model. The record is from RNAcentral.
CCUACGGGAGGCAGCAGUGGGGGAUAUUGCACAAUGGGGGAAACCCUGAUGCAGCGACGCCGCGUGGGUGAAGAAGCGCCUCGGCGCGUAAAGCCCUGUCAGCAGGGAAGAAAAUGACGGUACCUGAAGAAGAAGCCCCGGCUAACUACGUCCCAGCAGCCGCGGUAAUACGUAGGGGGCACGCGUUAUCCGGAUUUACUGGGUGUAAAGGGGGCGCAGACGGCGGUGCAAGCCAGGAGUGAAAGCCCGGGGCCCAACCCCGGGACUGCUCUGGGAACUGCGUGGCGAGAGUGCAGGAGGGGUAGGGGGAAUUCCUGGUGUAGCGGUGAAAGGCGUAGAUAUCAGGAGGAACACCGGUGGCGAAGGCGGACUGCUGGACUGCAACUGACGUUGAGGCCCGAAAGCGUGGGGAGCAAACAGGAUUAGAUACCCGAGUAGUC